AAUUAAUCCAGCCCGUUUUUUUUUACAGAGUGGGCCCAUAAAAGGAAGAAUUCAUAACCCAACUACUCCUCAAAGCCCAGAGCCCAAAACAAACAAUAAUCCGACAUCUUGCGUUGCGUGCGUCGUGCUGGAAUCGAAACUUGAGAAAAGCAUGAAGUUCACAGACUCGCCGGUGAUCGAGCUUCCGGUAAACGACGCCGUUCUGUCGCUGCAGCAAGACAACGGUUCCAUGCACGUGGGAACCUCCGUGUGGCCCUGCUCCCUCGUCCUCGUAAAAUUCACGGAGCGUUGGGCCUCACCCUCAGACAACAACCCGUACGCCAGCGUGCUGGACUUCGGAGGCAAACGGGCUGUGGAGCUGGGCACGGGCUGCGGCGUGGCGGGGAUGGGCUUGUUCUUAUUGGGCCUGACGGACCUGGUCCUCACGGAUAUCGCGCCCGUGAUGCCGGCCCUGAAGCGCAACCUGAAGGUGAACAAGCCCAUCCUCCGCAAGACCCUGAAACACUCCAUUCUUUACUGGAACAACGCGCAGCAGAUCGCCGCCCUCAACCCUCCCUUCGACUUCGUCGUCGCGACCGACGUCGUUUACAUUCGCGAGUCCGUGCCGUCUUUGGUUUCCGCCAUGGAAACCCUAGUCUCCGACAACGGCGUCGUUUUGCUCGGCUACCAGCUUAGGGCACCCGAAGCACACGAGCUUUUCUGGGAACUUUGCGACAAAGCCUUCCACAUCGAGAAAGUCCCACACGAGCAUCUGCAUCCCGAUUAUGCUUACGAGGAGACCGAUGUUUUUCUGUUGAGGAAGAAAAACGAGAAGCAGUGAGCGAGUGAGAGUGAUGGAAGAUAAAGACAGUUUUUGGGAUUGCUAUUUGGUAAAUGUGAUGAAAGAGGCAACAGUCAUGCAGGAGAGUAUAUGAAUCAUCUGAUGCUAGGGUGAUGGAAUGUGGUUGGCCCUGGCGUUUAUGCCGAUCCUCCAAAUGAUUGUCAACAAGAGAUCUUGAAUAUUUGUGAGGCGUGCUUGCUGCUGUACUGUAAAUGUCUUUGUUUUUCAUAGAUUUAGGCUCCCUUGUGAUAAGGUGAAAAAAAAAAGGUAGUGAAUGGGGGCGAUUAAAUGAGACUAAAGCUAGUUGCAUAAUUUUAGUUCUUUUAUCAUAUUUAACCUUCUUUUUACACAUUAGUGUUUGUAUUAUGGUAUAUGUUCCAUAGGUGAGGAGUGUGCAAACCUUGUCUGUAUACUCUUUAUCCUAAAUGAAUGAAUUUGCAUAUCGUGCGCAACAAA
This is an RNA transcript of Vigna radiata var. radiata (mung bean), 1276 nucleotides long. It is a transcript of the gene named protein N-lysine methyltransferase METTL21A, with no coding region annotated. Lineage: Eukaryota; Viridiplantae; Streptophyta; Magnoliopsida; Fabales; Fabaceae. The transcript is spliced from 3 exons. The record is from RefSeq and is a predicted model, not a curated record.